RNAcentral lists this unclassified non-coding RNA (345 nucleotides) under Pomacea canaliculata. RNAcentral's name for it is "uncharacterized LOC112574126, transcript variant X1". Lineage: Eukaryota; Metazoa; Mollusca; Gastropoda; Architaenioglossa; Ampullariidae. The record is from RNAcentral.
GCUAACAGAAGAACAGGGUGACAUUUAAUUGUUGCACCUGAUAAAAAAAUUUCAUCUCAAGCGGGAUCUCUUCUACGACUUUGCAGACCUUGUCCUCCUGUUCCAUUUGUCAACUAUCUAUUAGCCUGCUGUGGAACGACACAAACUGGUCACAUGACCAGGCACGAAUGGUAUCCUGGAGAAGGAGGAUAGAUAACGAGGUGGCCAGAAGACCUGGCUUGCAGACUGGCUUUUCUGGAUUUGCUCAAGACAGACACGUGGCUCACCUUGUCUAUCCAGUCGCCCAUCUCACCACCUCGCCCCCCGACGAUCGGUGCAGGCGGACCAGGCUCCCCGGUCCUCAAC